AAAAGACAUGCGAAGGGGUUGAAGGAAUUUCAUAAAUAUGGGAUGUAUGGGUGUUUGACAUGUUGGCCGAAACCCAGUCUCACCUAAGAAUCUACUCAAAUUUUACUUGAUUACCCCAACACGAGGGAUAAGCGCGCGCUGUCUCUUUUACCCGUCCUUCGACUCCUCCUCUACUGUUCUACUAUAGUCUUCUUCCCCCCACUCCUGUGUGUGUGUGGUUCUAGCAGUGGUACGAUGGAGGACCCUGGGCGUAAAGAUAAGGGUGGGGGCACCGGCCGCAACGUCGUGGACAUCUGCUUUCUGAGCCGUUACAACUUGGGCUCGAAAGAUUUGGUCCUGGAGGAGGACGACGACAGGAUGCAGCGGUUGAAAGCCAGCUAUGCGUCUCGUGGGUCGGCGCAUGAAAGAGAGAGAGAAAGGGAGAGAGAGAGAGAUAGGGAGAUCCUUGAAUUUGAUUAGUUUUCAUUUUGUUUUUUCUUUAAUUGUUCAAUCUAUAUGAGUAUGUGGCCUAAGAUCACAGCAUUGAUUUAGUUCGAAUAAUGGAUUAGUCUUGCUGGUGCGCCAAUAGAAUAAAAUAAUUUUCAGUGAA
Elaeis guineensis (African oil palm) is the source of this 589-nucleotide non-coding RNA. Lineage: Eukaryota; Viridiplantae; Streptophyta; Magnoliopsida; Arecales; Arecaceae. The record is from RefSeq and is a predicted model, not a curated record.